RNAcentral lists this long non-coding RNA (699 nucleotides) under Salmo salar (Atlantic salmon). Its description in RNAcentral is "lncRNA (ENSSSAG00000081885.1)". Lineage: Eukaryota; Metazoa; Chordata; Actinopteri; Salmoniformes; Salmonidae. The record is from RNAcentral.
AGAAAGACUCACAGCUGGAAUCAGCGCCAAAGGUGCUUCUACAAAGUAUUGACUCUGGGGGGUGUGAAAACUUAUGUAAAUGAGAUAUUACUGUAUUUCUGUAAUACAACAAAUAAAAUGUCAUCUAAAAACAUGUUUUCACUUUGUCAUUAUGGGGUAUUGUGUGUACAGGCAGCAGGACAGGCAGGUGUACAGACAGCACGUCAGGCAGGUGUACAGGCAGCAGGACAGGCAGGUGUACAGGUGCCAGGACAGGCAGGUGUGCAGGCGCCAGGACAGGCAGGUGUGCAGGCAGGUGUACAGUCAGCAGGACAGGCAGGUGUACAGUAAGCAGGUCAGGCAGGUGUACAGGCAGCAGGACAGGCAGGUGUACAGGCAGCAGGACAGGCAGGUGUACAGCCUCAACAACCUGUUAUAUAGACACAUCAUAAGAGCUACAGGACCUCCAUUAAAAUGGUCUUAUUACUCAGAGAAGUGACCAAGACAUUCAAAAGUAAACAUGUAUUUAUGUUUUCAUACACACACACACACACACACACACACACACACACACACACACACACACACACACACACACACACACACACACACACACACACACACACACACACACACACACACACACACAUACAUACAUACAUACAUACGACUACAAAUGACCACAAAUUUAUUACAAAUCACGUCAUUAACAUUUCAAAA